CAAUUCUGCUUUCUGCGCAGGUGUAACCGGUUACCCUAAUUAGGGUAAUCGGUUACACAGUCCCAAAACGGCCAAAAAUUCAGUUUUUGGUCUGUGUAACCGGUUACCCAGUUUUUAUUUUGUUUUUUUUAUUUAUUUUUAUUUUUAUUUUUUUAAAUUUUUUUAUUUUUUAUUUUUUAUUUUCAUUCCUUGAGCCCAUGCAAUAUGUCUUUGGUUAUGAAUGUUAAUAUAAUUAUGAUGAUGAAAUAAUG
RNAcentral lists this long non-coding RNA (251 nucleotides) under Lathyrus oleraceus (garden pea). Its description in RNAcentral is "Pisum sativum (pea) long non-coding RNA (PSAT_LNC006199)". Lineage: Eukaryota; Viridiplantae; Streptophyta; Magnoliopsida; Fabales; Fabaceae. The record is from RNAcentral.